CCGGCCGGCCGCCGCCAGCGGCGCCUCGUUGAGAGUUCACGGCCCCCACCCUCGGGCGCGCUCCCCAGCCGAGGGCCGUCGCGCUGCGGGUCUCCGCACAGCCUUUUUCAAAGGACAGCCGGAGAUCCGUCGUCUUUGACGUCUUGUCUGCUCCUAAGUCUCUGAAGUGGGCGUGGGCGCCGCGAGCGUCCCCGUGCCCCGCGCCCCUUGCCCUGCCCAGUGCUUUGGCUUUGCUUGGCUUCGCUCCAGGACCCUCCUCCCAAACUGAUGAUCAGGUUUUUCUCCCCGCGUGCUGAUUUACCCUAUUUGCUGGUACCGUAUGAAAUCAUCUUUAAAUCACUUUAUCUUGCCCUUUCAGAAGCCUCGACUUCGAGAGACAAGGCCUAAGCCCACGAAACAUUAAAUCAUAAGAAUAUCACAGGGCAGUUAGUUUCCAGGAUCUUUUAAAAAGGUCUGAUUAGCCCAUGCCUCUGAUCCCAGCACUCGGGAGCCAGAGGCAGGUGGAUCUCUGUGAAUUUAAGGCCAGCCUGGUCUACAUAGAGUCACUCAGUGACACCAUCUUAAGGAUGUGGCCUGUGACAGAGCUGGGCCAGUGCCAAGGAGUCGUUUGGAUGGACGGUGGCAGCGGCCGGGGUACCCUUCAUCAGUGUGACUAGAGUGUGUCUAACAGAGGAGCUUACCAAGAGGAGGCUUUGGGUUGGCGUCUGAAGCCCUGAGGAGCCUCUCACGCUUGAGUGAGGCAGAGUUGACAGAAGUCAAUAAACAGGCAAAGCAUCUCUAUUUAAAAACACUGCUCAGUAGCUGUGUCUCAAGCACCCAGGGUUUGUCCGUAUGAGGCUAAGUAGGCAAAGUCCCCGUGAGCGUGCACUGGUCCCUAUUCUUUGGUGACUUGCAAUCCAGUGGAGGAGGCUGAUGCUAGUCGUAGAACAGAGGCAAAGCCAAAUUACACUGUGGUGGUUGUGAAAGGAAAAGGUACAAAUACACUAAACCCACAGUAGCUUGUAAAAUUACAGUAGGGAAUGCCGAUCUGGAGCCCUGUAAGAAGACUUUGGCCAUUGUCUAACAUGGCUUAACAAGAACCAUGGUGAACAAAGGCUAAAGAGGAGUCACCAAAACAGUGUGUGUGCCUUCAUUUUGCCCUAAUUAGAAAGGAGGAAAUAACACUGCCGUGAUGGUGCUAAAAAGGACUAUGACUUAGACCAAGCAAGACAGAAGAUGGUCUAUUUAUCCAGGGAUCAGGGGUUCAAAGGGAGAAUGGUCCAACAGGACAAUGUGAGGGUCAGGAUUGAAGAGGAAAUUUUGUUCAUAAUCCCAUAUGUUUGCAUGUAAUAAAAGUCAUACCAUUAAUAAAUGAA
Peromyscus leucopus (white-footed mouse) is the source of this 1355-nucleotide long non-coding RNA. RefSeq lists it as uncharacterized. The transcript has 3 exons. The record is from RefSeq and is a predicted model, not a curated record. Lineage: Eukaryota; Metazoa; Chordata; Mammalia; Rodentia; Cricetidae.